CACCUCCGACAGAUAAUUGGGAAGGGUUUCCAGAGGUGGGAAAUGUCACCUGAUUCACACUGAACUUUUAAAAGCUCCCCACCCCCAAGGAGCCGCGUACACCCUCGCUCGCGGCCGCCCUCCCACAGCCCCACACACUGGGAGACCGCCCACCGCAAACCGCGGAGACCCCCGUCUAGAUUUAAAGCGCGGCUGCGCCCGGCUUCUGACGUCCAUUGAAUCGCGCGGGCGGCCGGCGGCGAGCGCGGGGCUGCGCCGGGAUCGCUGCGCCCUCCGCCGCUCGCCUCUGCGACGCG
This 296-nucleotide long non-coding RNA is filed under the name Marmota monax (woodchuck). Lineage: Eukaryota; Metazoa; Chordata; Mammalia; Rodentia; Sciuridae. The record is from RNAcentral.